This 504-nucleotide small RNA is filed under the name Pongo abelii (Sumatran orangutan). RNAcentral describes it as "processed transcript". Lineage: Eukaryota; Metazoa; Chordata; Mammalia; Primates; Hominidae. The record is from RNAcentral.
UUUAGUCCGCGAUGGCUUCCUUCGCGCCCCACCGUCCUCUUCCGGAAGGCGGCUCCCUCCCUGCGCAGCCCGGAGCCCCUGGGAUCAGCCUCGAGCAGGCGCCCGAGCGAGACUAUCCCUAAACGAGAACGGCGGUGGCCGGACUUGUGAGUGAGGAAAAGAAGGAAAAGGCAGACUGGUCGCGAGGAGGAGAUCCAGGCCUCAGAGGAGAAAGGCCGGAGCCAGCCGAGCUGUCACGACCGGAGGGGGGACUCGCAGCCUUACCAGGCACUUAAGUAUUCAUCGAAGAGUCACCCCAGUAGCGGUGAUCACAGACAUGAAAAGAUGCGAGACGCCGCAGAUCCUUCACCACCAAAUAAAAUGUUGCGGAGAUCUGAUAGUCCUGAAAACAAAUACAGUGACAGCACAGGUCACAGUAAGGCCAAAAAUGUGCAUACUCACAGAGUUAGAGAGAGGGAUGGUGAAAUAAGAUGCUGAUGUGAGCAUCUAAAAAGUGGAUUCUAA